Molecule: long non-coding RNA, 758 nt
Filed under: Ovis aries (sheep)
Lineage: Eukaryota; Metazoa; Chordata; Mammalia; Artiodactyla; Bovidae
Description: lncRNA (ENSOARG00000025532.1)
Source: RNAcentral
GUGCACAGUUAGAACAGGUGAAAUAAUCUAAUCUGGAAUAUUGCUCUCCUCACCUUUUUUUAAUAAAGAUUUGCCUCACCACAGACCUUAAUAUAACAGCAGUAAAGGCAAGAGAGGAAAUUGGAAACACGGCCAGGAGUGUGCCUUAUGGUUCAUAACAGCCCCAAAUUGUAACUGUUUAUUAAAACUAACACCCUUUUGUGAGUGAGGGUGUGGAUCAAAAUAUCCAGUGGUUUCUCUUCUUCAAUAUUCCCUUUUUUUAUAGCACUGAGUUUAAGUUUCAGUUUUAGAGUUUCAUUAAGUUUUUUAAAUUGUUUCUGACUGAAACAUUGACUUUAAAAGGCAACUUGUCCGUAAUUUGUCCCUGUUCCUUACUUCCAUUAUUUAUUUCAAUCCGUAGGAGAUGUCUAUGGAUGGAUGACCUCUUGGGCCACUGGGACAAGAAAGAGUUAAGGCAGGUGAAGGACCAGAGGAGUCAGAAGUCCAGAGAACUGCCUCACAAAAUACAAUUAAGGGCCUUUCCCAGGCCCACGGUGCUCUGGUGCUGCCAGAGUGUUUGCAUUGCAAGUGACAUCUGGCUGACAGGAACUUGGAGAAAUGGGAUACGAAGUGAAUGCUGCAGUUACCACAAGCAUCGUAUUUAUCAAAAGGUUUAAGGUUGGCCUGUCUUUGUUUAACAUAUGAAACUUGGAACAUUGACUGGGAAGCUCUGUGUUUUUGUGUUGCCUGCAUGUUUUAACUGAGCUGUUUAGGAAAAG